AGUCCCAGAUUGCUGAUGCGGAAGUUGAAAGGCGGAGAUUUAGGGACAUGUUUGAUCUUUUUUAGAUGAGUGAAGAGUCAUAAGGAAUUCAUCUUGUACUCUAUUACUCAUCGUUUAAAGUCAGUGAAAUUAUAAACGUUGUUUAGAGCAGUUCACAACAUUUGCAUUUACUACAGAGUGGAAGAUUUGAACUCAAACGAAUCCCAUUUUAAAAGCCGUCAGGAGGAGGGGAAGAACAGAGCUUCUUUCCAUAGCAAAUCGAAUUCGAGACAACAUACGCACCUCUUCUUAAAAAGUUAGUAAAAACGAGUGCAAUAAUAAAAGCAUAUUUUUUAUGUAACUUCACAUUUUAUGUAUGUAUGUAUCUAUGUGCAUACAUCGAUUAAUUUUAUAUAAAAAAAAAUAAAUUGUAUUCAGUGCAUUUCACAGUCUUAUUUAUAGAUAAUGUUGUUCGGAACUCCUGCCUUUACCAAAUUCAAUUUCUAUCAUGAUUGUUAUUCCAAUUUUAUGUAUGCUUACAUUCACCUACUUAUGUUUAUGAAUUCCAAUAUUUGCUAUUUACUUGCUUGUAUAUAUGUACAUAUGUAUGUAUUUCAAUUUGUCAUUCCUGUGUACAUAUGUACGUUUACCGCUUUAAUUGCUUACUUAUUCACAUGUAUAAUUUGUUUUUGUUAAUUUCCCGUACUGCGGCAUUUGCCUUUUUGUCGCGCACUUCAGUAAACCCAUUUGAGUUUGCUAGUUGCUAUGUAUAUAUGUAAUUCCCUCAGUUAUGUAUAUAUGUACGCACUCCUUUGGGCUUUGUUUUUGUGCCUUUACCGCAGUGUGUCAAUCGCCUUUUCACUGGUGCGCUUGCUCGUCGUAGUUUGGCAAAUCGUUCGCUCAAACUCAAAUCUCAAUUCAGUCGUCGACAAAGGAGAAAAGGUGAAGGACACACUGCGAAAUAAACCAAGUUUCUAUAACUUGCGUUAAAUUCGCCAGCGAGUCGA
Molecule: long non-coding RNA, 986 nt
Organism: Rhagoletis zephyria (snowberry fruit fly)
Lineage: Eukaryota; Metazoa; Arthropoda; Insecta; Diptera; Tephritidae
Source: RefSeq, a predicted model, not a curated record